Molecule: ribosomal RNA, 541 nt
Filed under: Escherichia coli
Lineage: Bacteria; Pseudomonadati; Pseudomonadota; Gammaproteobacteria; Enterobacterales; Enterobacteriaceae
Description: partial 23S ribosomal RNA
Rfam family: Bacterial large subunit ribosomal RNA
Source: RNAcentral
GGUUAAGCGACUAAGCGUACACGGUGGAUGCCCUGGCAGUCAGAGGCGAUGAAGGACGUGCUAAUCUGCGAUAAGCGUCGGUAAGGUGAUAUGAACCGUUAUAACCGGCGAUUUCCGAAUGGGGAAACCCAGUGUGUUUCGACACACUAUCAUUAACUGAAUCCAUAGGUUAAUGAGGCGAACCGGGGGAACUGAAACAUCUAAGUACCCCGAGGAAAAGAAAUCAACCGAGAUUCCCCCAGUAGCGGCGAGCGAACGGGGAGGAGCCCAGAGCCUGAAUCAGUGUGUGUGUUAGUGGAAGCGUCUGGAAAGGCGCGCGAUACAGGGUGACAGCCCCGUACACAAAAAUGCACAUACUGUGAGCUCGAUGAGUAGGGCGGGACACGUGGUAUCCUGUCUGAAUAUGGGGGGACCAUCCUCCAAGGCUAAAUACUCCUGACUGACCGAUAGUGAACCAGUACCGUGAGGGAAAGGCGAAAAGAACCCCGGCGAGGGGAGUGAAAAAGAACCUGAAACCGUGUACGUACAAGCAGUGGGAGCC